RNAcentral lists this ribosomal RNA (253 nucleotides) under uncultured bacterium. Its description in RNAcentral is "partial 16S ribosomal RNA". It matches the Rfam family "Bacterial small subunit ribosomal RNA", at positions 524 to 776 of the family's 1533-position model. The record is from RNAcentral.
UACGGAGGGUGCGAGCGUUGUUCGGAAUUACUGGGCGUAAAGGGCGCGUAGGCGGCGUAACAAGUCAGGUGUGAAAGUCCAGGGCUUAACCCUGGAAGUGCAUCUGAAACUGUUAUGCUUGAGUAUCGGAGAGGAAAGUGGAAUUCCCGGUGUAGAGGUGAAAUUCGUAGAUAUCGGGAGGAACACCUGAAGCGAAGGCGACUUUCUGGACGAAUACUGACGCUGAGGCGCGAAAGCGUGGGGAGCAAACAGG